AAGUUUUAUCCUAGCUUAUUCUUUCAAUUUUAGGUCAAUGGUACAUGUAAAUUUUGAUGGGCCAAUAAAAUUUAUGCUAACUAGAGGAGUAUAAAUAUUCUGAAAGUAGGGGUUCUAAUAAAUAAUAAAUUCUCAGUACCUAGUACUAAUUAAAUAAAUGUAAGUUGGAAUUGAUGAUCUUAAUUAUAUACCUGGCUAAAAUUUGUGCCAGCAGCCGCGGUUAUACUGAGAGGUUAAUUGAAAGAAAAUUGGUUAAAAAUAGUUAUAUCUAUUGAUUAAUAAUAUUUCAAGAGCUUGUACUGAUAAAGGGUGAAAUCGAUUUUUUAGUAUACAAGGGAAUGAGAAUAUUAAUCUGAAUUGAAGCUAUUAAAAUAAAGGAAUGAACCAGGAUUAGAUACCCUGUUACACUUUAUAUAAAUUAUAAAAUUACCUGGGUAUUAAACAGUUAUUGUCUUGAAACUCAAAGGAUUUGGCGGUAACUUAGUCUAUUUAGAGGAACCUGUCCUGUAAUCGAUAGUCCACGAAGAAUCUUACUUUAUCUUGUAGAAAUCAGUUUGUAUACCGUCAUUAUUAGAUAACUUUAAUAAGAUAUAAAGUUAUUGGAAUAGUUUAGCUAAUAUAUUAGAUCAAGGUGCAGCUUAUGGUAAAGAAAGAGAUGGGUUACAUUAUAAUAAAUAUAAACGGAACAAUGAACGAAUGUUGGUUGUUAAAGGUGGAUUUAAAAGUAAAGAGAUUUUAACAAGAUCUUUUGACUUUAGCUCUAGGUUAUGUACACAUCGCCCGUCGCUCUCGUUAAUUAAAGCGAGAUAAGUCGUAACAUAGUAGGUGUACUGGAAAGUGUACCUAGAAAUU
This 852-nucleotide non-coding RNA is filed under the name Penaeus stylirostris (blue shrimp). The record is from RNAcentral. Lineage: Eukaryota; Metazoa; Arthropoda; Malacostraca; Decapoda; Penaeidae.